AGUGAACGCUGGCGGCGUGCCUAACACAUGCAAGUCGAACGGAGAUUAAGUGGCUUGCUGGUUUAUCUUAGUGGCGCACGGGUGAGUAAUAUGUAGCUAACUUGCCCAUUACUAUGGGAUAACAGCUGGAAACGACUGCUAAUACCUGAUACUCCGUACCUCUAUAAGUAGAUACGGGAAAGUUUUUCGGUAAUGGAUAGGGCUAUAUCGUAUAAGCUAGUUGGUAAGGUACUGGCUAACAAAGGCUAUGACGCGUAACUGGUCUGGGAGGAUGAUCAGACACACUGGAACUGAGACACGGUCCAGACUCCUACGGGAGGCAGCAGUAGUGAAUAUUGCUCAAUGGGAGAAACCCUGAGGCAGCAACGCCGCGUGGAGAAUGACACUUUUCGGAGCGUAGACUCCUUUUCUUGCGAGAGAAUUAUGACGGUACCCAAUGAAUAAGCACCGGCUAACUACGUG
RNAcentral lists this ribosomal RNA (462 nucleotides) under uncultured bacterium. RNAcentral's name for it is "partial 16S ribosomal RNA". It matches the Rfam family "Bacterial small subunit ribosomal RNA", at positions 29 to 507 of the family's 1533-position model. The record is from RNAcentral.